Molecule: ribosomal RNA, 216 nt
Filed under: Glomeromycotina sp.
Lineage: Eukaryota; Fungi; Glomeromycota
Description: partial small subunit ribosomal RNA
Rfam family: Eukaryotic small subunit ribosomal RNA (bases 40-216)
Source: RNAcentral
GGGUCAGUAGGUUGGUCGUGCCACCGGUACGUACUGGUCUCACUGAUUCCUCCUUCCUGAAGAACCGUAAUGCCAUUAAUUUGGUGUUGCGGGGAAACAGGACUGUUACUUUUAAAAAAUUAGAGUGUUUAAAGCAGGCUAACGCUUGAAUACAUUAGCAUGGAAUAAUGAAAUAGGACGAUCGAUCCUAUUUUGUUGGUUUCUAGGAUUGACGUA